This 1301-nucleotide long non-coding RNA is filed under the name Callithrix jacchus (white-tufted-ear marmoset). RNAcentral's name for it is "lncRNA (ENSCJAG00000074621.1)". Lineage: Eukaryota; Metazoa; Chordata; Mammalia; Primates; Cebidae. The record is from RNAcentral.
ACACAGAAAGGGGAGUACUAAACACUGGGGUCUACUGGGGGGAAAAGGGGAGGGCCAGUGGGAGGGGGAGGUGGGGAGGGAUAGCCUGGGGAGAAAUGCCAAAUGUGGGUGAAGGGGAAAAGGAAAGCAAAGCACACUGCCGUGUGUGUACCUACGCAACUGUCUUGCAUGCUCUGCUCAUGUACCCCAAAACCUAAAAUCCAAUAAAAAAUUAAAAAAAAAAAAGAAAUAAUCCAGACUGGGCAAUUUAUAAAGAAAAGAGUUUCAACUGGCUCACAGUUCCACAGGCAUUACAAGAAGCAUCAUGCUGGCAUCUGCUUGGCUUCUGGGGAGGCCUCAGGAAACUUAUAAUCAUGGUGGAAACUGAAGAGGGAGCAGCAGUGUUACAUGACCCGAGCAGGAGGAAGAGAGAUGGGGGAGGUGCCACACACUCUUAAAAACUGGAUCUCAUGAGAACUCACUCAAUAUCAUGAGAACAGCACUAAGGAUGGCACCAAACCAUCUGGAGUAAUGCACUGCCAUGAUCCAACCCCCUCUCACCAGGCCCCACAUCCAGCGCUGGGAAUUAUGAUUCAGCCUGAGAUCUGGGUGGGGACACACAUCCAAACCCCAUCACAAACAAACAAGCAACAAGAACGCAGUGAACCCCAUUUGCUCUCUCAAGGAAAUAACCGUUUCUAAUGUAAAGUAAUCAGCAAAGCUGAUUAGCUGAAAGAGUUAAAUGAAAAAAUUAAGAAGGGUUAGGAGGUGCAGGGGAAGCCAGUUAAACUUGUUUUUUUUUUUUAAAGUGUUUUUUUGUUUUCUCUUCUCUCUCUCUCUCUUUUUUUUUUUUUGCAAGAGGCCUCGGUUUGCAGUCUGCAGAGCUACAUGGCUGGCGGGAGACCCCUGAAAAGAAACCGGAGGAGCUAGCUGACAAAAGAUUGGAAUCCUGGGGCCUUCCGUGUGGUCACCCUUCAUUGCUCUCGUGUGACUCCCUGAAGGAGCCCUUCUCUCCCAUUCUGGACCUUCCAAAGCCAUCUGCCUACCUGGCCUGGUCCAUCGCAGAUACUGGUCCAUGGUCAGUUCCCUGUCUCCGCAGAGCCCUGCCCUCCUCCUCCACGGGGUCUCUGACUUCCCACUUGCCACGCCCCUCUCGGGACUUGCGGAGGUGUUGCAGAAACCGGUGCCAGUGGGUGCGGGGGAGAAUGCCUGGAUCUGGACUCAGACUAACUAGAGUUCUGAUUCUGGUGCUGGGAUUUAUCAGCUGUGGAAGACCAGACACAUUCAGCUCUUCCAUGACUUCAGUAUACAUCCCAAACUGA